This 202-nucleotide ribosomal RNA is filed under the name uncultured bacterium. RNAcentral's name for it is "partial 16S ribosomal RNA". It matches the Rfam family "Bacterial small subunit ribosomal RNA", at positions 29 to 224 of the family's 1533-position model. The record is from RNAcentral.
AGUGAACGCUGGCGGCAGGCCUAACACAUGCAAGUCGAACGGCAGCACAGCAGUAGCAAUACUGUGGGUGGCGAGUGGCGGACGGGUGAGGAAUACAUCGGAAUCUACCUUGUCGUGGGGGAGUAACGUAGGGAAACGUUACGCUAAUACCGCAUACGAACUAUGGUUGAAAGCGGCGGACCGCAAGGCGUCGCGCGAUUGG